CCAUCAUUUCGAGAAUCCUCAGUCACAGGAUAUGUUGUAAAUGUAGAAUGAGUCCUUUGGCACACCCGACGACGUUAAAAAGCACAAGACUAGUUGUGCCAUCUUCAACACUUGAACGAGAGAAGGAGCUCUGUCACUGAUCAUGUACUGUACAUGAUCAAGAUGAUUGAGCACUUAAGCAAGCUUGACUUUUCCCUACAUGAGCAGCUG
RNAcentral lists this long non-coding RNA (210 nucleotides) under Elaeis guineensis (African oil palm). RNAcentral describes it as "long non-coding RNA (EGUI_LNC021704)". Lineage: Eukaryota; Viridiplantae; Streptophyta; Magnoliopsida; Arecales; Arecaceae. The record is from RNAcentral.